Non-coding RNA from Odocoileus virginianus texanus, 695 nucleotides. NCBI's taxonomy places the organism in Eukaryota, Metazoa, Chordata, Mammalia, Artiodactyla, Cervidae. The record is from RefSeq and is a predicted model, not a curated record.
UUUGCACCUAAAAAACAGGGUGAUGGUGGUAAGGACCUUCCCACAGAAGCAAAGAAGCUUCAGCUGAAUUCUGCAGAGGAGCUGUAUGCUGAGAUCAGAGAUAAAAACUUCAAUGCCGUGGGCUCCGUGCUUAGCAAGAAAGCAAAGGUGAUCUCUGCAGCAUUUGAGGAAAGGCACAACGCCAAGACGGUUGGGGAGAUCAAGCAGUUUGUUUCACAGCUGCCCCACAUGCAGGCAGCACGAGGCUCCCUCGCAAAUCACACCUCGAUUGCAGAGCUGAUCAAAGAUGUAACUACAAUUAGAACAAGAGAAAUGUGAAAGAUGAUUUGAGAACCAAGAAGGGGAGGACGUGUGUCUGAGCUGGAGACUAGUGUGAAACAGCUUCAGUUUGAGUUGGAGAGUCAGCCAGUAAGAAAGCAGAUUGAGAAGAAACACGGACUGUCCAGAAAUUAUCAGAACAGAACCAAAGGUUAUUGGAUCAGCUCAGCAGGGUCCAACUUUCUCUGUUCCUCUCCAUUGCCCCUUGUCUGUGUGGACUCACUGCCAGAAAUGAAACUGACAAAAGCAAAGUAUCUGUAGAGGGAAGAGGAAUGAAGCUGGGAGAGGAUCUAAGCAAGCAAAAUGUAACAUCUCUUGAGGAUGCUACAGAAGGAAGAGAUGUGAACACUUUGACAUGAAUAAAUAUUGUACUUCCA